This is a non-coding RNA of Clostridium sp. DL-VIII, 227 nucleotides long. NCBI's taxonomy places the organism in Bacteria, Bacillati, Bacillota, Clostridia, Eubacteriales, Clostridiaceae. The record is from Rfam.
GAAAUCCGUUCUGAAAAGAUUAAGUCAAAUCAUUCAGUAGCGAGUCAUGGAGAUAAAUAGGUAACUAUUUAUUUUAAGCGUUGACAGUUAGGUUGUAGGCUUGAAUGUGAAUGAGCCUCGUAAUAAGUAUAAAGUUGGGAAGGCUGACGGUGUCGGUUCUCUGGAAAGCAAUAUUAUGGUAGGCGAUAAUGACGAGUCUACUAUAACUUCCUCGGGGUCAAAGAGCC